UAUUAUCUCAGUGGCGGACGGGUGAGUAACGCGUGGGCAACCUGCCUUAGACCGGGGGAUAACAGUGGGAAACUACUGCUAAUACCGCAUAACGUCAUGAAGUGACAUCACUUUAUGACCAAAGGAGAAAUCCGGUAUAAGAUGGGCCCGCGUCCGAUUAGCUAGUUGGUGAGGUAACGGCUCACCAAGGCAACGAUCGGUAGCCGAACUGAGAGGUUGAUCGGCCACAUUGGGACUGAGAUACGGCCCAGACUCCUACGGGAGGCAGCAGUGGGGAAUAUUGCGCAAUGGGGGAAACCCUGACGCAGCAACGCCGCGUGAAGGAUGAAGGUUUUCGGAUCGUAAACUUCUUAGACAGGGGACGAAAGAAAUGACGGUACCCUGAAAACAAGCCACGGCUAACUACGUGCCAGCAGCCGCGGUAAUACGUAGGUGGCGAGCGUUGUCCGGAAUUACUGGGUGUAAAGGGCGUGUAGGUGGGAAUGCAAGUCAGAUGUGAAAUACCAUGGCUUAACUGUGGUGCUGCAUCUGAAACUGCGUUUCUUGAGUGCUGGAGAGGGAAGCGGAAUUCCAAGUGUAGCGGUGAAAUGCGUAGAUAUUUGGAGGAACACCAGUGGCGAAGGCGGCUUUCUGGACAGUAACUGACACUGAGGCGCGAAAGCGUGGGGAGCAAACAGGAUUAGAUACCCUGGUAGUCCACGCUGUAAACGAUGGAUACUAGGUGUAGGAGGUAUCGACCCCUUCUGUGCCGCAGUUAACACAAUAAGUAUCCCACCUGGGGAGUACGACCGCAAGGUUGAAACUCAAAGGAAUUGACGGGGGCCCGCACAAGCAGUGGAGUAUGUGGUUUAAUUCGAAGCAACGCGAAGAACCUUACCAGGGCUUGACAUAUAUCGA
RNAcentral lists this ribosomal RNA (897 nucleotides) under uncultured bacterium. Its description in RNAcentral is "bacterial SSU rRNA". It matches the Rfam family "Bacterial small subunit ribosomal RNA", at positions 85 to 994 of the family's 1533-position model. The record is from RNAcentral.